AGCCUUCUGCACCCGUUCUGAGAUUUCGUCACACACCAGACCACAAGGCCUGAUGUGACUCCCAAGCUAAGUGAAACG
Molecule: non-coding RNA, 78 nt
Organism: Schistosoma mansoni
Lineage: Eukaryota; Metazoa; Platyhelminthes; Trematoda; Strigeidida; Schistosomatidae
Source: Rfam